This 544-nucleotide ribosomal RNA is filed under the name uncultured kinetoplastid. RNAcentral's name for it is "bacterial SSU rRNA". It matches the Rfam family "Eukaryotic small subunit ribosomal RNA", at positions 615 to 1026 of the family's 1831-position model. The record is from RNAcentral. Lineage: Eukaryota; Euglenozoa; Kinetoplastea.
GCUGUUAAGGGUUCGUAGUUGAAUUGAGGACUGUUCCAGCACGCGCACCGUCCAACCCUCUGGGUUCGGGCCAGCACUGGCAGUUCGUGAACAUCAUCAGAAACGCAUUCAUGGGAACGUCCUACCCAACUUACGCAUGCAAUGUAUGCAGGGGGGCGCCCGUGUAUUUUACUGUGACUAAAAAGCGCGACUAAAGCAGUCGUUUCGACUCUGAAUUUGAAAGCAUGGGAUAACGAGCAGCAGCCUACGGGCUUCCGUUAUGGCUUUUGUUGGUAGUAAAUGUCUGUGGGAGACUUGGACUCGUUUGACAGGCGGUUUGGGGUUUUGUCCCCACGCUUCCGGCGUUAGGUGGUCUUCGGGCCCCUGCGUCGGUUACGGUGUCCAGGAAUGAAGGAGGGUUGUUCGGGGGAGAACGUCCUGGGUGUGAGAGGUGAAAUUCUUAGACCAUCCAGAGACGAACUACAGCGAAGGCUUCUCCAAGGAUACCUUCCUCAAUCAAGAACUAAAGUGUGGAGAUCGAAGAUGAUUAGAGCCAUUGUAGUCC